UGUGACUGUAUGUGUAUGUGUGUGUGUACGCGCACUCUAACGGUGCUGUGUGUGUAUGUCUGUGUGUGUGUAUGUGUGUGUAUACGCGCGCUCAAACGAUGCUGUGUGUAUGUGUGUGUGCGUAUGCUCUAACAGGCUGCUGUGACUUUGUGUGUAUGUGUGUGUGUACGCACGCUCUAACGUUGAUGUGUGUGUGUUUGUGUGUGUACGCGCGCUCUAACAGCGCUGUGUGUGUAUGUCUGUGUGUGUAUGCGUACGCACGCUCUAACGGCGUUGUGUGUGUAUGUCUGUGUGUGUGUAUGUUUGUACGUACGCGUGCUCUAACAGCGCUGUGUGUGUAUAUCUGUGUGUGUAUGUGUGUGUGUACGCGCGCUCUAACGGCGCUGUGUGUGUGUGUAUGCGCGCUCUAGCAGCGCUGUGUGUGUAUGUCUGUGUACGCACGCUCUAACGGCGCUGUGUGUGUGUGUGCGCUCUAAUGGCGCUGUGUGUGUGUGUGCACGCGCGCUCUAAUGGCGCUGUGUGUGUAUGUCUGUGUGUGUGUUUGUGUGCUUGUACGUGCGCUCUAACGGUGCUGUGUGUGUGUACGCGCGCUCUAAUGGCGCUGUGUGUGUAUGUGUGUUUGUGUACGCACGCUCUAACAGGGUGCUGUGAGUGUGUGUAUGUAUGUGUGACUCUGAAGGGGAGCAGAAAGAUGAUGGAGAGCAGCUUCGACGCAGGAGUGUGAGAAGCAGGCUGGGCAGGGGCACCGUGUCAAAGCAGCCAGACAACAUGAGAGCCGGACUGGACACGAGAAAAACCAAAUCAGAAAGUGAUUUGAGGAAAGUCCCAGAGAAGCAGAGGACAAGGCCUAUGGGGCAGUUAAACAGGAGAAGACCGGUCCCAAUGUACACCAAGUCAGACAUGGGACUGGUGAGACCGACGGCGUCAGACUGAGCAAAGUCCAGCCAUGAGAGACCCGUAGAACAGGGCCUGGAGAGAUACAUGACAUCUGUCCCGUCUGUGACCAUCUUUGCCCUGGCUGGGUCAGACAGUACUGGGCUCCUGAUGACAACAAUCUUCAUAACCCAUCCAGGAAGCUGCACUUCACCAUCCUGCCAGAUACACCAACAGGGAACAGAUAGCAACCUCUCUCCUUCUUUCUGAAAAAUGGAAAUUAAAUCUCUCCAAAGGGUUACAGGACAUUAGUAGGAAAGGAGAGACAUUCAUCAGAAUGUGCUUUCUGAUAUGCAAAUAUCAUUAUGCAUAUUAGGAAAUGAAAACAUAUGAGGCCAGGUUAAGCAU
Molecule: long non-coding RNA, 1281 nt
Organism: Brienomyrus brachyistius
Lineage: Eukaryota; Metazoa; Chordata; Actinopteri; Osteoglossiformes; Mormyridae
Exons: 3
Source: RefSeq, a predicted model, not a curated record